UACGUAGGGUGCGAGCGUUGUCCGGAAUUACUGGGCGUAAAGAGCUCGUAGGUGGUUUGUCGCGUUGUUCGUGAAAACCGGAGGCUCAACCUCUGGCGUGCGGGCGAUACGGGCAGACUAGAGUACUGCAGGGGAGACUGGAAUUCCUGGUGUAGCGGUGGAAUGCGCAGAGUAUCAGGAGGAACACCGGUGGCGGAAGGCGGGUCUCUGGGCAGUAACUGACGCUGAGAAGCGAAAGCGUGGGGGAGCGAACAGG
This 256-nucleotide ribosomal RNA is filed under the name uncultured bacterium. RNAcentral's name for it is "partial 16S ribosomal RNA". It matches the Rfam family "Bacterial small subunit ribosomal RNA", at positions 524 to 776 of the family's 1533-position model. The record is from RNAcentral.